Long non-coding RNA from Salvia splendens (bonfire salvia), 692 nucleotides. RefSeq lists it as uncharacterized. The transcript is spliced from 3 exons. NCBI's taxonomy places the organism in Eukaryota, Viridiplantae, Streptophyta, Magnoliopsida, Lamiales, Lamiaceae. The record is from RefSeq and is a predicted model, not a curated record.
CUCUCUCCCUCUCUUCUCUCCCUCUCUCCCUCUUCUCUCUUCCUUACGCCGCCGCCGCCCCCCCCUCUCUCUCGCCACCGCACCGCCGCCGUUGCUACCGCGGAUCCGCCACCGCCGUCAUGCAGAGGCAGCGGCUUCGCAUCCCUCCUCCGGCAGUACGGUUGUCUCCGUACAACAGUAGAUCGGUGCUCCCUUCCUCCUCAUCCCUCUCUCUUCUCUCCCCUCUUCACCGUCGCGCCACCAUCGCCGCCGUCGCGGAGGAUCUCCCCCUCUCCAGCCGCCGACGCCGAUAUCCGAGAGCUUUGUUGGAAGAAUGAUUGUGGAGUAAAUGUUUAUGUGGAGUUUGUGAAGAGAAUUUAGGACAUGCUGAUGGUGAUGUGUUAUAGUGAAGAAAGUAAUUUAUAUAGGAGUACAUGUACAUAAAAGAAAGUGGCGUAUAUAAGAAAGUGAAGAAAGUGAUUUGUAUAUAAGAUGCAAGCGGAUACAUGUAUCUCCUAAUAAUAUUGUUUGUCAGUAAUGAUAUCAAUUGUGUCAGAGGGUAUAAUCGGUUCAAGUUCGUGGCCGUCCGUGCUGAAGUACCCGAUUUUCUUAGAACGCAUGAUGUAUAGAUUAAAUUUUGUUGGACUUUUUGGUUGGAUGUAUCGGACAUUAAAAUUUUAAAUUUUGAGAUCUUAUUUAUUUAUUUAUUUAAA